UCACAAUUUACACACGUUCAUUCACACUUCACACACGAGCUUCUUCCUCACGAGCUCUGCUUCUUUUCUGGUCGCACGAGCUUCCUCUGCCGUGGCCGCCGUUCGCAUCACACGAUCUCUCUGUCAUCCCUUGCGUCGCACGAGCUCCUUCCGCCGCCGCUCUCGUCGCGUCUGCUCCCUUGGUCGCCGUUGUUGCAGAGCUCCCUCUGCCGCUCUCGUCGCGUCUGCUCCCUUCAUUGCCGUCGUCACAGAGCUCUCUCCGCCACCGCUCUUAUCGCGUUUGCUACCUUAGUGAAUUUCAGGUUUAUCAAUUAUUUUACUAUCAGCGAAGAAAGAGAUUCCAGAUUGACAACAACAUAGAGAUGCCAGAGUUAUGCCCGGAAUGGUUAGCAUUGUUGAUCAUUGAGAAGGCUUGUUUAUCUUCCAUUCCUCUUUAUGAAACUUCUGGUGCUGUAUGUAAGACUGGUCAAAAUUUUAAGGAAAAACCAAGGGAGCUUAGAGGACUUGAUGCUGUCUUUGAAAUUACCUUGAAGUGACGGUCGGAUUUGAAGGUGUGAGAUUGUAACCAUCACACCAGGAUGCUCCACCAAAUCACGUUACCCCCAAUGUUGCAACCUCUUUCAUUGAGACACUUGAAGCCAAUGAGCUUCUCAAGCCUGGUCUUGCUGAUGGAGAUUGCGAAGCUAUUGAUCAAGAUAUUCUUCAAUUACAGAAGGAACUUCACCAACAGGUCACUGAAAAAGGAAAGGGCUUAAUGAAACUCAUUCCAGCAGUAGAAGAGGGCAGGGAAAUAGAACAACGAGCCCUUGAGCAAGUUGCUAUGGAAAAACUUGUUGAGUUGGCUUAUAAGAAGAAGCUGGCCACCCGUGGAAGUAGUGCCGCAAGAAAUGGCCUUACUAAGGUUGCAAAGCUAGUUGCUUUGGCUUUCAUGAAGAGGACACUAGCUAGAUGCAGGAAAUUUGUGGAAAUUGGGAGGAGUUGCUUUCUGGAGCCUGUCUUUAAAGAUGUGCUAUAUAAAAAUGUGUUGUUUCAAGCUUUACAGGAGUUUUCUAAGAGGAAGGACAAUGGGAAGAUGGCUGAAGGAUCAAAAGGAGAGGAAAAAAGCAGGAAAUUAGGACACAUAAUGCUCAGUUGCAUGCUGCAGUAUUCGUGGCAAGCAUAGCUGAUGCCGUUGUGGCCAUUGUAGCUUCAAUAGAGUGUACAUUGUAGAAUCAAUAGAGUGUACAUAGCAGCCAUAAGAAAGUGUACAUAGCUGCCAUAAAGUUCUACACUUACCAUAUGAGUGGUCUCUAGCUUAGCUUGCAUUAUUCAAGAAAUUUUAGAAAAUUCUAAGGAUACUACUCUACUAAUGUUUGAGCCAUGGAUGUAAUUUUCACUCCAUAUGGAUGUAUAACUGUAUAUUAUUGAAUAAGUAGAGUUAUAUGCAAAGAAAUAUUAUAUAGAUAAUCUAUUUUU
This is a non-coding RNA of Arachis ipaensis, 1455 nucleotides long. The record is from RefSeq and is a predicted model, not a curated record. NCBI's taxonomy places the organism in Eukaryota, Viridiplantae, Streptophyta, Magnoliopsida, Fabales, Fabaceae.